This 674-nucleotide long non-coding RNA is filed under the name Heterocephalus glaber (naked mole-rat). Its description in RNAcentral is "lncRNA (ENSHGLG00100028534.2)". The record is from RNAcentral. Lineage: Eukaryota; Metazoa; Chordata; Mammalia; Rodentia; Bathyergidae.
CCUGCCUAAGCCUCCUGAGGAGCUGGAAGCACAGGCAUGACUCACUAUACCUGGCUAUAAGUUGCACUUUAAAGAUGAAGAAGCUGAAGCUCAGGGAGGAUAAAUUAUGCACUGAAGGUCACCCAAGUAACGCGGUCACACAGCGCAGUGAGCAAGCCCAUAUAUGCUGACGGAUCCAGGACACAAUACCACGAGGACCUAGCUACACAGGGUCCACACUGGAGGAGACAACCAAGACACUGCCAGAAUCUGCUUGUGCAGGAAAAAAAAGAAAAAAAUCUGACCUGGGCUUUAAAUUUGGACUUACAAGCUUUAACCUUGAGAAAGUCAUGUAUCUUUCUGGGUCUCAGCUUCCUUAUCUGUAAAAUGGGCUCCAUGUUAGUACUUGUGUCAUUGCAUGUUGUGGGGACCUCAGCUUCCCUUUGCUGGAACAGGAAGGCAUCUACAGAGGGGAAGAGGACUGGGAAGUUCAUCAGAUUGAGGUGGACAGUGAGGCACAGCAGGGGCAGCCAGACCGUGCGGUGCCAGGGCCUCUCCCCUCCAGAGGGCGUGGCUCCUCUUGGAUCUCCGCAUCCCAGCCCGCUGACCCAGCGCCUGGCUGGCAGCCCUGGAGGCAUGGGCCCAGCUGGUGGCAGGAGCCCUGGACAGGGGAAGGAGCAACUGGGAAACCCAUG